This 103-nucleotide microRNA precursor is filed under the name Marmota monax (woodchuck). Lineage: Eukaryota; Metazoa; Chordata; Mammalia; Rodentia; Sciuridae. The record is from RNAcentral.
AGAGGAAUAGCUGGGUCAAAUAGUGGUUCCAUUCUCAAAUUUCCAAGGAAUCUCCAUACUGCUUUCCAAAUUGGCUGCACCAAUCUGCAAUCCCACCAGCAAU